Molecule: long non-coding RNA, 575 nt
Organism: Limulus polyphemus (Atlantic horseshoe crab)
Lineage: Eukaryota; Metazoa; Arthropoda; Merostomata; Xiphosura; Limulidae
Exons: 2
Source: RefSeq, a predicted model, not a curated record
GUCACACUCCUAUUGGUGGAGGGCUGUCACAUACUCACUUGCAUGCUACAACACAGCUAUACUACACGUAAACACGUGAUGUUAGAUAGGAGUGUCAAGGCUAAUGGUGAGUGAAAAUUACAUAUAUCAAGGGCAACACAAAUCAAGGAAAUCUUGAGGCACAAACAUCAAAUUCUCAUUAAUGCUGCACAAAGGUGCUGAGACUAUUCCAGAUGGUAUGUUAUUCCAGGCUGUGAUCAUCUGGUUGAAGAAGAGAUUCCUUCCUGAUCUCUGUAGGUGAUAAUGGCUUGUUGAAUUUGAAAUUGUGGGCUCCUGUGAUGUAUGAUAACAUCAUACUACAAAUGGGAAACAAGGGGAUCUUUUGGUCCUUCAAGGCUGUACCUGCAUAUACACCCUUGAGAAAAGGCAAAAUCUUAAAACCACUCUAUUUUUCAGGAAAUUACUGAUUUCCCUCUAAACUCUUGUAAAGAUUUGGCUACCACUAAUGCCAUAAACAUCUUAUUCCAUAUCGCAAUUACCAUGCCAGAAGAAUAAAGCUUAACUGGAGCCUAGCCUAUCUUUUUCCAUAACUUAAA